This 465-nucleotide ribosomal RNA is filed under the name uncultured bacterium. RNAcentral's name for it is "bacterial SSU rRNA". It matches the Rfam family "Bacterial small subunit ribosomal RNA", at positions 331 to 794 of the family's 1533-position model. The record is from RNAcentral.
CCAGACUCCUACGGGAGGCAGCAGUGAGGAAUAUUGGUCAAUGGGCGGGAGCCUGAACCAGCCAAGCCGCGUGAAGGAAGAAGGCGCCAGGCGUCGUAAACUUCUUUUGUCGGGGAACAAAGGGCGCCACGUGUGGCGUUGUGAGUGUACCCGAAGAAAAAGCAUCGGCUAACUCCGUGCCAGCAGCCGCGGUAAUACGGAGGAUGCGAGCGUUAUCCGGAUUUAUUGGGUUUAAAGGGUGCGUAGGCGGACUGUUAAGUCAGCGGUAAAAGCCCGGGGCUCACCCCCGGCGAGCCGUUGAAACUGGCUGUCUUGAGAUGUCGAGAGGUAUGCGGAAUGCGCAGUGUAGCGGUGAAAUGCAUAGAUAUCACGCAGAACUCCGAUUGCGAAGGCAGCAUACCGGCGCCCUACUGACGCUGAGGCACGAAAGCGUGGGUAUCGAACAGGAUUAGAUACCCUCGUAGA